RNAcentral lists this ribosomal RNA (462 nucleotides) under Triticum aestivum (bread wheat). RNAcentral describes it as "partial small subunit ribosomal RNA". The record is from RNAcentral. Lineage: Eukaryota; Viridiplantae; Streptophyta; Magnoliopsida; Poales; Poaceae.
AUGUCCUCGCCUCCGACGCCGUCGCCCCCAACCCAGGCGACCCCUUCCUCCAACUUGCGCCGGACGUCACCCGGAGUUGAGAGGAGAGGAGAGGCAGAUCUCACCACCACUGGUGACCUCCCUCCCUCCCUCCUCAGAUGGACGGACGAGGUAACACCGCCCAAAACCCUAGCCCCGCCCCUCACCCACCCACAUGGAUGGACGGAUGGGGACGGGGAGCAGGCCAGGCGGCGGCCAGAUCCACCACGGCUGCCGCGGUUCAUCUGGAUCCGCGCCCUCCCCAGUUGCUCGCGCGCUAGGAGAAGAGGAGGUGGCAGCGGCUACUGCCGUUCUCGUGCGGCCGGGCAGCUCGUCUGCUCCGACCCCGUCAAGGUGCCCUCCUCCCCUUCUCGAUGCGAUGCUGCUUGUGUUGCUCUCUUCAUGAAGCUCCUCUCUGCUGCAGUCUUGGAGGAGAUGCAAUAG